Molecule: ribosomal RNA, 460 nt
Filed under: uncultured bacterium
Lineage: Bacteria
Description: partial 16S ribosomal RNA
Rfam family: Bacterial small subunit ribosomal RNA
Source: RNAcentral
CCUACGGGAGGCAGCAGUGAGGAAUAUUGGUCAAUGGCCGGAAGGCUGAACCAGCCAUGCCGCGUGAAGGUCAGUGCCCUAUGGGCGUUAAACUUCUUUUGUGCGGGAGCAAUAAUGGUCACGUGUGGCCAGACGAGAGUACCGUACGAAUAAGCAUCGGCUAACUCCGUGCCAGCAGCCGCGGUAAUACGGGGGAUACAAGCGUUCUCCGGAUUUAUUGGGGUUAAAGGGUGCGUAGGCUGUGAGGUAAGUCAGCGGUGAAAUGCCCCCGCGCAACGGGGUGAAGUGCCAUUGAUACUGCCUUGCUGGAAUGCGGAUGCCGUGGGAGGAAUGUGUGGUGUAGCGGUGAAAUGCAGAGAUAUCACACAGAACACCGAUUGCGAAGGCAUCUCACGAAUCCGCGAUUGACGCUGAUGCACGAAAGCGUGGGUAUCAAACAGGAUUAGAUACCCGUGUAGUC